ACAACGCUUUAUUACCCAUAAUUCCCUAGCAGUGCAUCAUGGGAACAGCAUCAUUUUCUAAACUUCUAAAAAGCUGUAAAGUGCUGCACACGAAACUGCAACAAAACUUCAAUAAACGAAAGACAAUAUUCGACUUAAAAUCAACGGUGUAAUAAUUUACAAAGACUUUUCAUCAAAUAUCAAGCUGUUUGGGUCAUGGUGUAACAGUUAAGUGCGGGAUUGAACAAGUUGAAGUCGAAGAUUUGACUGUCUGGUGGAUUAUGCGGGGACGCUAAGAAGGUGCAACCGGCUUCGUGGUGCUGGUACAAUCUCAGCCUCAAAAAAGCAGACUGGUCGUUGAGUUGCUGCAUGCGAUCCCAAGAUACUGUUGUUGCGGCACAUAGUACUGAAUUUUGUACUCCGGCUCCGGUUGUCCGGCUGAUCGCGCCCAGGACAACUCCACCGCGAUGCAGAUCAACGCACAGGGCUCUGAAUGCUGAACAGAACCUCGCAGGAGAGAUCUACUUGCAACAAAUUAGUUCUGGAAAUUGAACGGGACCGCGUAGGAGAGUCAUUCUUGCAUCAAAUCAAGUAUUGUAAUUUUUUUAUCAUAUUCAUGAAUUAGUUUUGUGAUUUUCCUACGUUGAAGCCAUAAAAAAUGCAUUUUUG
Molecule: long non-coding RNA, 648 nt
Organism: Dalotia coriaria
Lineage: Eukaryota; Metazoa; Arthropoda; Insecta; Coleoptera; Staphylinidae
Exons: 7
Source: RefSeq, a predicted model, not a curated record